RNAcentral lists this ribosomal RNA (265 nucleotides) under uncultured bacterium. RNAcentral describes it as "partial 16S ribosomal RNA". It matches the Rfam family "Bacterial small subunit ribosomal RNA", at positions 28 to 295 of the family's 1533-position model. The record is from RNAcentral.
GACGAACGCUGGCGGCGUGCUUAACACAUGCAAGUCGAGCGGUAAGGCCCUUUCGGGGUACACGAGCGGCGAACGGGUGAGUAACACGUGGGUGACCUGCCCUCAGCUCUGGGAUAAGCCUGGGAAACCGGGUCUAAUACUGGAUAUGACUCCAUGACGCAUGUUGUGGGGUGGAAAGCCUUGUGCGGCUGAGGAUGGGCCCGCGGCCUAUCAGCUUGUUGGUGGGGUGAGGGCCUACCAAGGCGACGACGGGUAGCCGGCCUGA